Long non-coding RNA from Cygnus atratus (black swan), 561 nucleotides. RefSeq lists it as uncharacterized. The transcript is spliced from 3 exons. The record is from RefSeq and is a predicted model, not a curated record. Lineage: Eukaryota; Metazoa; Chordata; Aves; Anseriformes; Anatidae.
UCCAAGCAAGAGCCCCACACAGAAGGAUCUCCUGGUGGUUCUGCGAACAAAGCAAAUUAUUAUGCCUGCUGAAAGCAGUCACAGAAAGGCGGUGGUGCAUCCCUUGUCAGAGAGCGCGCCGGCAGCAGGCCAGGAACAAAGAUCUCAGGCUUCUUCCAUCAGUUCUGAGCACAGCCUGGUCCGAGAUGCCUGCCUCUUGCUAAUAAUUUAAAUGGCAGUCCAUUAAUCUAAGAAUUAACUUGCCAUUAUGUUCCCAUCGCUUUUCAUUAAACCGGCAAAUGCAUUAUGUCGUGGCUGCAUGCAAACUGUGUAUUUCAGUGUUUACAGCUCAGCACCAAUUCUACAGGCCGCAGUAGAGCAAAAGGGCAAGAAAGCUGAGAGGUCGAUAGCCCUUGUCCAGUUCAGCAUACAACAGUUCAUCCGGAUUCCUAAACAUCUUUUGAAAGAGGUUUCCAGGCAUAUCGACAAAUCCCUGGUUGAUGACAGCAUGCAAGUCUGAUCUCAGACCAGUGACUUUGCUGUUGUUGUUCAAGACUAUUCGCAUUGUCUACAGAUAAUAAG